GCGGACGUGGUGAAAUUGGCAGACACGUUAGAUUUAGGUUCUAAUAAGUAUAUCUUGUGAGAGUUCGAGUCUCUCCGUCCGCA
Molecule: transfer RNA, 83 nt
Filed under: Caloglossa intermedia
Lineage: Eukaryota; Rhodophyta; Florideophyceae; Ceramiales; Delesseriaceae
Also listed under: 1 other name
Description: tRNA-Leu
Rfam family: tRNA
About the family: Transfer RNA (tRNA) molecules are approximately 80 nucleotides in length. Their secondary structure includes four short double-helical elements and three loops (D, anti-codon, and T loops).
Source: RNAcentral